UCCCCACUAAUGUCAGGUAUUCCAGAAGGUUCCCCACUUAGAUCAGGGAUUCCAGAAGGUUCUCCACGUAGAUCAGGUAUUCCAGAAGGUUCUCCACUUAUAUCCAAUAUUCCAGAAGAUUCUCCACUUAUAUCAGGUAUUCCAGAAGGUUCCCCACUAAUAUCUGGAAUUCCAGAAGGUUCUCCACUUACAUCUGGAAUUCCAGAAGGUUCUCCACUUAUGUCGGGUAUUCCAGAAGGUUCUCCACUUAUGUCAGGUAUUCCAGAAGGUUCUCCACUUACAUCUGGAAUUCCAGAAGGUUCUUCACUUAUGUCAGGUAUUCCAGAAGGUUCUCCACUUAUGUCAGGUAUUCCAGAAGGUUCUCCACUUACAUCUGGAAUUCCAGAAGGUUCUCCACUUAUGUCAGGUAUUCCAGAAGGUUCUCCACUAACAUCUGGAAUUCCAGAAGGUUCUCCACUUAUGUCAGGUAUUCCAGAAGGUUCUCCACUUAUGUCAGGUAUUCCAGAAGGUUCUCCACUAACAUCUGGAAUUCCAGAAGGUUCUCCACUUAUGUCAGGUAUUCCAGAAGGUUCUCCACUAACAUCUGGAAUUCCAGAAGGUUCUCCACUUAUGUCGGGUAUUCCAGAAG
This is a long non-coding RNA of Amblyraja radiata (thorny skate), 628 nucleotides long. RefSeq lists it as uncharacterized. NCBI's taxonomy places the organism in Eukaryota, Metazoa, Chordata, Chondrichthyes, Rajiformes, Rajidae. The record is from RefSeq and is a predicted model, not a curated record. The transcript is spliced from 7 exons.